Non-coding RNA from Phrynosoma platyrhinos (Desert horned lizard), 72 nucleotides. Lineage: Eukaryota; Metazoa; Chordata; Lepidosauria; Squamata; Phrynosomatidae. The record is from the annotation of a GenBank genome assembly.
GUCAGUGUGGUAUAGUGGUUAGAGUAUUGGACUAUGACUCUGGAGACCAGAGUCCAAAUCCCAGCUCUGCCA